RNAcentral lists this ribosomal RNA (253 nucleotides) under uncultured bacterium. RNAcentral's name for it is "partial 16S ribosomal RNA". It matches the Rfam family "Bacterial small subunit ribosomal RNA", at positions 524 to 776 of the family's 1533-position model. The record is from RNAcentral.
UACGAAGGGUGCAAGCGUUACUCGGAAUUACUGGGCGUAGAGCGUGCGUAGGUGGUUUGUUAAGUCUGUUGUGAAAGCCCCGGGCUCAACCUGGGAAUGGCAAUGGAUACUGGCAGGCUAUAGUGCGGUAGAGGGUAGUGGAAUUCCCGGUGUAGCGGUGAAAUGCGUAGAGAUCGGGAGGAACACCAGUGGCGAAGGCGGCUACCUGGACCAGCACUGACACUGAGGCACGAAAGCGUGGGGAGCAAACAGG